Molecule: long non-coding RNA, 320 nt
Filed under: Medicago truncatula (barrel medic)
Lineage: Eukaryota; Viridiplantae; Streptophyta; Magnoliopsida; Fabales; Fabaceae
Description: long non-coding RNA (MTRU_LNC008005)
Source: RNAcentral
AGAGGCUUCUUUCUGGGGUUCCUCUGCAGGGCCGUUAGAGGCCACGUCCUUUGGUUGUGAUCCUGAUGCACCUUCAGCUGCUGACCCAGUUGCUUUGGAUGAUGUUUCUUUUCCAUCCUUUGCGUCUUUGGCAUCUUUAGCAGGAGCAGGUGGUGGAGGAAUCAUGUGAGGUGGUGGUGUAUGCUUCAGCUUUAGCAGUAUUUGUCGCAUCCUGGAAAGAUCUGUGGGUUUGCCGGGCUUAGGGCCUUGGACAACAGUGAUUGAUGGCUUCUUAUCCUGGUCUUUUUUGCCUCUCCUCUUUUCAAUGUUGGCAACCUCAC